RNAcentral lists this ribosomal RNA (440 nucleotides) under uncultured bacterium. RNAcentral describes it as "partial 16S ribosomal RNA". It matches the Rfam family "Bacterial small subunit ribosomal RNA", at positions 338 to 795 of the family's 1533-position model. The record is from RNAcentral.
CCUACGGGAGGCAGCAGUGGGGGAUAUUGCACAAUGGGGGGAACCCUGAUGCAGCGACGCCGCGUGGGUGAAGAAGCGCCUCGGCGCGUAAAGCCCUGUCAGCAGGGAAGAAAAUGACGGUACCUGAAGAAGAAGCCCCGGCUAACUACGUGCCAGCAGCCGCGGUAAUACGUAGGGUGCAAGCGUUAUCCGGAUUUACUGGGUGGAAAGGGGGCGCAGACGGCGAUGCAAGCCAGGAGUGAAAGCCCGGGGCCCAACCCCGGGACUGCUCUUGGAACUGCGUGGCUGGAGUGCAGGAGGGGCAGGUGGAAUUCCUGGUGUAGCGGUGAAAUGCGUAGAUAUCAGGAGGAACACCGGUGGCGAAGGCGGCCUGCUGGACUGCAACUGACGUUGAGGCCCGAAAGCGUGGGGAGCAAACAGGAUUAGAUACCCCUGUAGUC